Molecule: ribosomal RNA, 666 nt
Filed under: Triticum aestivum (bread wheat)
Lineage: Eukaryota; Viridiplantae; Streptophyta; Magnoliopsida; Poales; Poaceae
Description: partial small subunit ribosomal RNA
Source: RNAcentral
AUGACAUCCAAACGACACAAAAAAAAGCAAUUGAUAGCAAAGCAUUAUCUGCACAUGAAAUUUUGGAUGACUACUGAUUAUGGAAGGCACCCAGAUUACCAUAAAAAGUUAGAUGUGGAGCAACUAGCAAAUUCUAUUCGUAGUUGGUCUGGUAUCAAUAUUUCAACAUUUAAAUCGGUACGAGCACUUUUACAAACCAUGGAUGAAUUCAUUCUAUUCACAUUGGACCAAGAUACCAGAACAGUGUACAUUUUGGACCCUACUCCUAUUAAUCCAAUGUACCGAUACAACCCACUCGCAAAAUAUAUGAAAAAAAUUAUAUGGAUUUCCGAACACUUACAAAAAGCAAUGUCAAAAGCAUGCCCUGGGUCUAGAUGGAACGAGGAUAUUCGCCUAUGGCAACAUAAAAUCCUAGAUGAUAUUCCAGUUUACAACAGGGAAUUGUCUGGUUAUCUUGUUCCCCUAUUCAUGUCCACAUGGGAAGACGAAAGACCACAUUUGCCAUUUUUAAAGGAUGGAUAUGAACUCAGAAAACUAAUUUUGGGCCAAGUGCUAACAUUCAAGGACAAUGAAUGUGAAGAUAACAUGCCUGCUGGUGUACUGGAAUUCAUCAAUUGUAUUAGGAAAAUCCAAAGUAAAACUGGGAGCUCAAUCAGUGGAAGGUGA